Molecule: ribosomal RNA, 253 nt
Filed under: uncultured bacterium
Lineage: Bacteria
Description: partial 16S ribosomal RNA
Rfam family: Bacterial small subunit ribosomal RNA
Source: RNAcentral
UACGGGGGGAGCAAGCGUUGUUCGGAUUUCCUGGGCGUAAAGGGCGCGUAGGCGGCCUUCUAAGUCGAACGUGAAAUCCCCGGGCUCAACCCGGGAACUGCGUCCGAUACUGGAAGGCUUGAAUCCGGGAGAGGGAUGCGGAAUUCCAGGUGUAGCGGUGAAAUGCGUAGAUAUCUGGAGGAACACCUGCGGCGAAGGCGGGUUGCUGGGCCGACACUGACGCUGAGGCGCGAAAGCCAGGGGAGCGAACGGG